AACACAUGCAAGUCGCACGAGAAAGGGGCUUCGGCUCUGAGUAAAGUGGCGCACGGGUGAGUAACACGUGACUUAUCUACCUCCGAGUGGGGAAUAACUGAGGGAAACCUUAGCUAAUACCGCAUAACACUUACGAGUCAAAGCAGCAAUGCGCUUGGAGAGGAGGUCGCGGCAGAUUAGCUAGUUGGCGAGGUAACGGCCCACCAAGGCGAUGAUCUGUAUCCGGCCUGAGAGGGCGCACGGACACACUGGAACUGAAACACGGUCCAGACUCCUACGGGAGGCAGCAGUGGGGAAUUUUGCGCAAUGGGGGAAACCCUGACGCAGCAACGCCGCGUGGAGGAUGAAGUCUCUUGGGACGUAAACUCCUUUCGAUAGGGACGAUAAUGACGGUACCUAUAGAAGAAGCCCCGGCUAACUUCGUGCCAGCAGCCGCGGUAAUACGAGGGGGGCAAGCGUUGUUCGGAAUUAUUGGGCGUAAAGGGCGCGUAGGCGGUUUGGCAAGUUUGGUGUGAAAUCUUCGGGCUCAACUCGAAGUCUGCACCGAAAACUGCCGGGCUUGAGUAUGGGAGAGGUGAGUGGAAUUUCCGGUGUAGCGGUGAAAUGCGUAGAUAUCGGAAGGAACACCUGUGGCGAAAGCGGCUCACUGGACCAUUACUGACGCUGAGGCGCGAAAGCUAGGGGAGCAAACAGGAUUAGAUACCCUGGUAGUCUUAGCCCUAAACGAUGAUUGCUUGAUGUGGCAGGUACCCAAUCCUGCCGUGUCGAAGCUAACGCGAUAAGCAAUCCGCCUGGGGAGUACGGUCGCAAGGCUGAAACUCGAAGGAAUUGACGGGGGCCCGCACAAGCGGUGGAGCAUGUGGUUUAAUUCGACGCAACGCGGAGAACCUUACCUGGGCUCGAAAUGUACGGGAAUCACUUAGAAAUAGGUGCGCCUAGCAAUAGGCCCGUAUAUAGGUGCUGCAUGGCUGUCAUCGGCUCGUGUCGUGAGAUGUUGGGUUAAGUCCCGCAACGAGCGCAACCCUUAUCUCCAGUUGCUACCAUUUAGUUGAGCACUCUGGCGAAACCGCCUCGGAUAACGGGGAGGAAGGUGGGGAUGACGUCAAGUCCUCAUGGCCUUUAUGUCCAGGGCUGCACACGUGCUACAAUGGCCGGUACAAACCGCUGCGAACCCGCGAGGGGGAGCCAAUCGGAAAAAGCCGGCCUCAGUUCGGAUUGGAGUCUGCAACUCGACUCCAUGAAGCUGGAAUCGCUAGUAAUCGCAGAUCAGAAUGCUGCGGUGAAUACGUUCCCGGGUCUUGUACACACCG
This 1310-nucleotide ribosomal RNA is filed under the name uncultured bacterium. RNAcentral describes it as "bacterial SSU rRNA". It matches the Rfam family "Bacterial small subunit ribosomal RNA", at positions 50 to 1392 of the family's 1533-position model. The record is from RNAcentral.